Molecule: small nuclear RNA, 178 nt
Filed under: Oncorhynchus tshawytscha (Chinook salmon)
Lineage: Eukaryota; Metazoa; Chordata; Actinopteri; Salmoniformes; Salmonidae
Description: U2 spliceosomal RNA
Rfam family: U2 spliceosomal RNA
About the family: U2 is a small nuclear RNA (snRNA) component of the spliceosome (involved in pre-mRNA splicing). Complementary binding between U2 snRNA (in an area lying towards the 5' end but 3' to hairpin I) and the branchpoint sequence (BPS) of the intron results the bulging out of an unpaired adenosine, on the BPS, which initiates a nucleophilic attack at the intronic 5' splice site, thus starting the first of two transesterification reactions that mediate splicing.
Source: Rfam by way of RNAcentral
AAAACUUUUCCAAAAGAAAAAUAAUCUGUUAUCAGUUUAAUAAUUGAUACUGUCCCCUGUAUGGGGGACCCCAUAUAUUAAUAGAUUUUUUGAAUUAGGGAGAGGAAUAGGGGCUUGCUCUGUCCAACUCAACGCAUCGACCUGUUGAAGUAGUACCUCCAGGACAGUUGACCCCUCC